This 74-nucleotide transfer RNA is filed under the name Buchnera aphidicola (Therioaphis trifolii). It matches the Rfam family "tRNA". Rfam says of the family: Transfer RNA (tRNA) molecules are approximately 80 nucleotides in length. Their secondary structure includes four short double-helical elements and three loops (D, anti-codon, and T loops). Further hydrogen bonds mediate the characteristic L-shaped molecular structure. tRNAs have two regions of fundamental functional importance: the anti-codon, which is responsible for specific mRNA codon recognition, and the 3' end, to which the tRNAs corresponding amino acid is attached (by aminoacyl-tRNA synthetases). tRNAs cope with the degeneracy of the genetic code in two manners: having more than one tRNA (with a specific anti-codon) for a particular amino acid; and 'wobble' base-pairing, i.e. permitting non-standard base-pairing at the 3rd anti-codon position. The record is from Rfam by way of RNAcentral. Lineage: Bacteria; Pseudomonadati; Pseudomonadota; Gammaproteobacteria; Enterobacterales; Erwiniaceae.
GGCUAUAUAGCUCAAUUGGUUAGAGCACAGCAUUCAUAACGCUGAGGUUAUGGGUUCAAUUCCCAUUGUAGCCA